AGCAUUGGCGGUUCUAGGGGCGGGGCCACAGGGGCACUGGCCCCUGCUGAAAUAUGAUUGGCCCCUGUAGUGCCCCUGUCCUGUCACUCAUCUGUCCUUUGUGCGGUGAUGAGAUUAUAGGUGGAUGCAAUUCCGAGUCCAAACACUAGUGGCCGUGUGGCGCUAAGGAGCAAAAUAGUGUGUGAAAUCCAACAGAAGAAGAUUUGAAAGAUUCCAAGAAGGGAGAACUUUUCAACCGACAUCGGAUCUGAUGAGAGUCCACGUUAUGAGGAGUUUGUUGCUGCAAACUGGGACAAGACUCUCUCCAAUUCAGACAACCAGAGUGAAGUUAAUGACUCAACCUUCCAUCCUGCUGGGCCACCAGAGUCACCAAUCAAUGCUAAUCCUGCAGGAUCAAAUGACAUCUUCCAGUGUGAUGCACAGAAUCCUGCGCAGACAUCAGAACGGUGUUCUGUUCCAGUAGGACCUGGUGGUGUGCUUCUCAUUUUGUAAAGGCUCUUUAAAUUUAAUUGAAUUUUGCAGUCAGUCACUUGCAGAUUCUGAAUGCCAUGAAUGUUAAAGGUUGAGAGAUAUAAGCAACUGACUCAGACUUAUUUAAUUGACUUCCCACCAGACAUUUCCCAGUCAAGAGCAGAGGGUCCUGUGAUAUUCUUCUGGUGUUUUUUCCACACACAAACAUAUUUUAACCUGAUAUUUGUGGCUUUGCAAAAUAAAUUGAAUGCUAAAAUUUCUCAAA
This is a non-coding RNA of Nothobranchius furzeri (turquoise killifish), 736 nucleotides long. The record is from RefSeq and is a predicted model, not a curated record. NCBI's taxonomy places the organism in Eukaryota, Metazoa, Chordata, Actinopteri, Cyprinodontiformes, Nothobranchiidae.